CCUACGUGCGGCUGCAGUGGGGAAUAUUGCGCAAUGGGCGAAAGCCUGACGCAGCGACGCCGCGUGAGGGAUGAAGGUCUUCGGAUCGUAAACCUCUGUCAGCAGGGAAGAACGGUCACUGUGCUAAUCAGCAGUGAAUUGACGGUACCUGCAAAGGAAGCACCGGCUAACUCCGUGCCAGCAGCCGCGGUAAUACGGAGGGUGCGAGCGUUAAUCGGAAUUACUGGGCGUAAAGCGCUCGUAGGCGGUAUGUCAAGUCAAGGGUGAAAUCCCCGCGCUCAACGUGGGAACGGCCUUUGAAACGGGCAAACUGGAGUGUGUGAGAGGAUAGUGGAAUUCCAGGUGUAGGAGUGAAAUCCGUAGAUAUCUGGAGGAACAGCAGUGGCGAAGGCGACUAUCUGGCACAUAACUGACGCUGAGGAGCGAAAGCGUGGGUAGCAAACAGGAUUAGAUACCCUUGUAGUC
RNAcentral lists this ribosomal RNA (465 nucleotides) under uncultured bacterium. Its description in RNAcentral is "partial 16S ribosomal RNA". It matches the Rfam family "Bacterial small subunit ribosomal RNA", at positions 338 to 795 of the family's 1533-position model. The record is from RNAcentral.